RNAcentral lists this long non-coding RNA (770 nucleotides) under Monodelphis domestica (gray short-tailed opossum). RNAcentral describes it as "lncRNA (ENSMODG00000049186.1)". The record is from RNAcentral. Lineage: Eukaryota; Metazoa; Chordata; Mammalia; Didelphimorphia; Didelphidae.
UGCCUAAAAUCACACUGCUAAUAAGCGUCUAAAAUCUCUGACUACAGGACUCAUCUACUGCUCUACCUAGCUGCUCUAAAGAAAUGAAAGCAGAGAUCAUUUAGUCUGACUCAUUUUAAAGAUUAGGAAAUGGAGGAUCAGAAGGAUUAAAUGAUUUUCUCAAGGUUACCAGGUAGAAAAAGAAGCAGAGUCAGAAAAUAGUUCAUUCCAAGGCUCUUUCCACUGUUCCAGCCUGGGAUUCAAAGAAGCUCCAGUUUCAGCCCCAGCUUUGCUAGUAACUAGUUGAACAACCCUGGACAAAUCUCUUUUUCUGAAGGAGCUUCAGAUUUCUGUAAAGUGAGAAGGUUCAAUCAAAUUGGAUUCAGCAGACCUGUAUUAAGUGUCAACUAUAGACAAGGCACUGUAAAAAGUAAUCGAAUUUCUGUAACCCUGUACAGAUUAAAGGAUAAUGUCACCACAACCACCCUGUGAGCUUUCUCAUAGAACAGCAAAACAAAUUUUUAUACUGGCCAUGGCCCAUCCCAUCUUAUUCUGGAUUUUAAGGUUCCCUCACCAACCUCCAUCAGCAGGUAGAGCUGAUCCAGCACAACAUUAUCUACAGAGAACACUUAAGCUCGCCGCUGUCAUCUUGAAAGUCUCAUAAGACUGGAAAUCAUUGCCUGGCUUCAUCUUAAUUCCAGAAUUACUUCCCUACUCUCCAUCCCCGCUCUUUUAAUUUUGCUAUACCGGACUAGAAUAAAGGAAACCUUUAUUUAAAAAAAAAAGCCUGA